UACGUAGGGCGCAAGCGUUGUCCGGAAUUAUUGGGCGUAAAGAGCUCGUAGGCGGUUUGUCGCGUCUGCUGUGAAAACUGGAGGCUCAACCUCCAGCCUGCAGUGGGUACGGGCAGACUAGAGUGCGGUAGGGGAGAUUGGAAUUCCUGGUGUAGCGGUGGAAUGCGCAGAUAUCAGGAGGAACACCAAUGGCGAAUGCAGAUCUCUGGGCCGUAACUGACGCUGAGGAGCGAAAGCAUGGGGAGCGAACAGG
This 253-nucleotide ribosomal RNA is filed under the name uncultured bacterium. RNAcentral's name for it is "partial 16S ribosomal RNA". It matches the Rfam family "Bacterial small subunit ribosomal RNA", at positions 524 to 776 of the family's 1533-position model. The record is from RNAcentral.